This 7605-nucleotide long non-coding RNA is filed under the name Canis lupus familiaris (dog). Its description in RNAcentral is "lncRNA (ENSCAFG00000052534.1)". The record is from RNAcentral. Lineage: Eukaryota; Metazoa; Chordata; Mammalia; Carnivora; Canidae.
UUUUUUAUUUUUAUUUUUUUAAGGAUUCAAAAUACACUCUUUUUUUUUUUUUAACUUUCUGUUUUUUUAAGUCCUCUCUAUAUCCAACACGGGGCACAAACUCACAACCCCCAGAUCAAGAGUCACACACUCUACCAACUGAGCCAAGUGUCCUGUCACUUCAUGUUUAUAAAAGGCCUGUAUUAGUGCCCAUUUUUGCUAACUGAAAGAAAUCCAAAGAGGGUUUUUGGUUUUCAAAAGAAAAAAAAAUGGGAGAAGCAAAAAUAGCUGUCAGCCUUAGCUCUACAGUCAGCCUAGCAAUAAUAGAGGCAGCACGCACGCCAAGCAGUGAGAGUGGCACCAUCAAGCUCCUUCCCGGGCACUACAUUCAGUCCAUCAGCAUCAAGUCACCAUGGUUUUGAACUGUGACUAUGAGCAUCUGUGCUUUAUCUCCAUUUAUUUUGUGCAUCCAUCAGCAAGAUAUGUCCUAAGAUAUCUGGAAAGCCUAAGAGGGGUUAUGGGGGGGGGGGGUGUCUGGGAACAUUCAAAAGUUUUCCAUAUAAAUGUAUGGUAAUCGCUUUUUUAAAACAUUUUGGCAAAAGGUUUCAUAGGAACGUCUCAUAGGAAUGCUCUGUUUUUGGAUAGCAGAGGAAACUGGAGUGUUUAGUCUUACGUGGCUAUAUGACUAUGCCAAGUAUUGUGAUCACUUAUUCAUUCAACAAGCGUUUGUUGAACAGCUACUAUACGCAAGCACCUGUGCUAGCAAUAAGGCUGGAAAUAACACAGAGAUGGUUCCUGCUCUCAGGAAGACUUAAGUCAAAUCAGAGGCAAAGCCAGGAUCUCAGAGCUCCCACUUGGCAUUAUAGCAAAUUGGGGAAGAGCCAGUGAUGAAUUUCAGGAACCUGGCAGUCUUACUCCAAGUAUGCCACAAACUCCAAGCAAAAAAUAGCAACUAAACUGGUUUUCUUUAGCAGGCUUUUGACUGAGCGAGUGUAUGUGCCUUUCUCUUAUUCACAUUCGUGUUCACACUCAACCAGCCCCGUUGACCACAUGUUCUAUGCUGAUGCCGGGGGGAGAGGGAAAGGUAAAAAGGUGAGAGAACGUUUGCCCUGAAGGACCUAGCAGCCAACUUGAUGAGAUGGACAGGCAAACAAUUACAGUAUACAGAGCAUCCCAUGAAAGUCUCUGCACAUUCACUUUUAGGAUGAUUAACGUGUAUUUUAGCAAAUAGGGUGGACAGAUGUUAACUGUUUUGACUUCCUCAAAGACAUGCAUGUUCAAAAGCCCUCACCAGCGCCAGCACAGAUAACGUACAAUGUUACCUCCACAAAGGUGUAUAUUAUCAUUAGGACACUCAGUGGCCUAACAAGCACUGAUGGAGGUGUACACAGGUCUGUGAUUAAGAAACAGGGAAAGGUCUGCAUGAGAGCUUUAAGGAUGGCUUCCGAGGGAUGGGAUGCUGGAGCGGAGUUUUAAAAGAAAGCAGGAGCUCAGUGCAGCCUUGGAGUUUCCAUACACAGAUUUGCAAGGCCCUCAGGGACCCUUCUCCUCAUGGACACUGGCCGUAGGUGUAGACAAGGGGACCUCGCUCCUGUCUUUAGAGGAUUGCAUGGAAGGGAGACUACAAUGAGGAACAGGAGCUCCCAGAAAUGGGUAUCUGCUUUCCUUCCCCUCGGCCCCACAAGCCUGUCUCCUCCACCUCCACAUCUGUCUUCCCUUUCUCUUUGUCCUCCUCUGAACCUUUAUUGUCAUCUCAUCCAGACAUUGGGAAGAGCAGAGCCAGCAUCCCCACGAAACAGAGGCACCAUUCAAAUAAACGUUGGCCCUCCUCUGAUGUUGACAUUUGGCAAAAUAUCCCAAGUGUUAUUUCACGUCUCAGCCAGGGGUGUGUGUGUUUUCACUUGCAAGCUCUGUGAGGGUAAUAAACAUGGUUCGGGGUCUUCCUUUUACUUCAAGGCUCUGCAUUCUUGAGGGACAGGAAUAAUUAAUAUCUUGUAUGACUCCAUACUUUUCCACCCUUUUAAGUCUAUCUCUUUUGUUGUAAAAGCUACUAUUUGUUGGAUGUAUAUAUAUUAAAAUAUACAUGUGUGCCAGGCACAGGCCUAAGCACUUUAGGAGUAUUUACACACUUAAUCCCCACAACUCCUCUGUUACCCCAGUUUACAGAGGAAGGAAGAGAUGAAGUGCCUCGCCCAAAGUCCCUCAGCCAGUACCAGCAGCCACGACCAGCCAGCCUGGCUCCAAAUCCAGCUGCACUUAUGACAACAUGAUGCCAUUUGUGCCACCCUUCAUGGUAGAGAAGUCAGCUUUUGCCAUCUCUACUGACACAGAAUGGCACAAACAUUUAGCCAGUCUAAGUGCUUCUGGCUACUGUCACACCCUCAGAUCCUGAAUCCACUUCCCUGAACCCUCUGCCCAGUUUCUUUCUAUAAAAUCCUGGUAUUGUGAAAGGAUUUAUGACCAGAAGGACAGAUGCCACCAUGGAAAAGCCAAAAAUCUGUCCUUUCCAGCUUUGGAGAUGUUAAAAACUCAAGUCACCCACAGAAAAACAAAAUAAUACCACAUUCUUCUUAGGUUUAUAAACACCCAGUAUGAGACAGCGAGAGACAGGAGGGUAAUUCCAGAUGCAUAACGAACAAAUAGCAAAUUUAAUAGUGUGGGCCUUGUUUAUACUUCUGCCAUCAACUUUAAUGAUGAGCCUAUUUAUGCUAAACUUCACUACAUUAUCAGAGUCAUUAGUGCCUGUAAGUGAGUGAUAAUGUGCUUGAAACUUCCACAAGGACAUGUAGCUUUCUCCAAGCCUUACAUUUCAAUGUUGAGAGAUGCAGGUCCAGUGAGUAUUUUUGUUCAUGCGCCUAGAACAACCGUUUGAUAUUAUGCCCCCAAAAGCAGCCUAGAGGCCAAACAAGUUGAAGAAUAUGCGUUAAAGAGAAUUAAAUAGACUUGUUUUGCCUCAAAAUCUCUAACAUGGUAAAAAGUGUUCAUGUGUCCUCUCAAUCUCCAAGAUGGGACACACUAUGUCAGAUUUUCUGAAUAUUAACCAAAGAUAUUUUCUUCCAAAGAGGACCUCUCUUAUUAUUGGUCAUUAAAACACUAGUGUAAUGAAUGUUGAAUUAAAACAAAACAAAAAAAAAGCUGUAGCAAAAGCCAAUAUUUGAAUCAUAAUGAAGGAUAAGUAGAACAUGCAUUGGUUCAUCACUUAGCAUUAGCCAUGGUAGGCAUGAGCCGAGCAAAGUGGCCUGUCCUUGGCUGUAGACACUCCUGAGGAUUCACAUGUUACUGAGAAUGCACAUUUCUGCAAACGUGAAGUCCUAAUUGAGAAGCACUCAAUAAAGUGAGACUCAAAGCUUCAACAAAGAACCUCAAAAGACUACAUGGGUGUUUCCUGUCCAUCAAUGUGAGCCAAAAUUUUUAUAUAACUUCAAAUAUCCCUAUACUUCGGAUCUAAUGAUGCUAGGGAAGCAUCAUUAGAUCCAAAAAGGAGGUACAUAUUAAAAAAGGAGGUACAUAUUAAAAACUCCAACCAGCAUCAGCAUUUUUCCCAACAUUAAACCACAUUAUUAGGAGACAAGCUACAUGCAGCCUAAAUUAAGCCCGAAAAAUCAGUACAAGGACCAACACUGCACUUUAUAGCAGAGCUCAUAAUGGAACAAGUAGAAAUGGAGUAGAGAGCAUUCUCAUGCAACAGACCUCAGCAUCUUCUGACAGUGUCCUCUCAUCAGAAAGCACUUCUCCUGACCAUCUUGUCUAAAAAAAAACACCCCUCAGCCCAUUUCCCCACCAUGGCUUUCUAGAACACUUAUUGUGUGAUAUUAUUUUAUUAUUUUUUCUUUUGUAUUGCCUGUCUCCCCUUGACUAGAAUAUAAGUUCCAUGAGCUCAGGGACAAAUCCAUCACAUUCAUCACUAUACCCCCUUCCCCCACCCACCUGGAACAAUGCAACCAUGCAAUAAAUACUCACUGAGCCCUGAAUGAGUGUUCUAAUUCUGGAAAACUUCAAUUCAGGUAACAGAACCCUAUCUUAGGUAGGGGAAGCUCUGGAUUUAAUCUCCUGCACUACCUUGAUGCAACUGUCACUCCUUCUUAUACUCCUAUCAGCCCCAACCUAAGCCAGGGCAAGAGAAGGAAGGAAAGGUCUAGGGGAAGUUCUAGGGGAAGAAGGUGUAACUCUGGUACAGAGGUAGACAGCACCUGUGUCCUUGGGCUCAUAUGCUAACCAAGAGGUUAGGCUUUCAAGAAAGACUCAACAGGAAUUGUUUCUCAGCUUCUUGUAUCAGAGUAGACAAUGCCAAGCAUUUGUACCAGCACUCUGGGCACAAGGGGUAAGUCAAAGUCUUAUAACACUUGAGAGGACCCUUCCUUAUGACCUUUCUUGCACUGGAUAUAUUUUAUUGCCCUGACCAUAGCCCCUCCCGAAGAAACUAAACAAUUCAAACACCCUGGUAGUGUCACCUGCCCCCUUAUCCAAUCUUUUCCAGGUCACAGCUAGCCAACCCCCUGACUAACCAGUGGCCAGUCAGCUCAAAAUCUCCCAAGGGAAUAUCUAAGAGUCAUAGAAACCAUCAUCCCUUGGCCAUGGGCCAUAGAACUGUGAGGUCUUAACAAGUCAGGGCGUGCAGUCAUAUUGGCCCAUAAAGGAACAGAAGGAAACCAAUCAGAGUACAGUCAGCUGAAGAGAAGCAGGAAAGAGAUACUAUGUGGCUUCAGUAGUUAAGAAGCUCAAGAAGCCAGGCCUCGCCCUCUUUGAAACCAGAGAGAUGUUCUUACUGCUAGCGGAUGCCAGACUCCAACUUGCCUGAGGUCUGAGCAGUUUUCAUUCCUAUAUGGGUGAGUCUACCCCUUAUGCCUCCAAAUAUACCCCCUUCACUUCAAUUAGCUUCGAUGGUUUUUCCUCCUUCUGCUUGGCUGGAACACCUACUUUGGAUCUAAGAUGCAUUGGCAUUUAUGACUGGCACCUUGUUCUCUUAUCUGCAUUCUCAGGUCUUUCCACAUGAAUUCUGUUUUCCACCCUUCCUGCAGGGCCCUGCUCCAAACCUACCUGCUCUUUAAAGGCUUCUUUGAGCCCCAGUAAAAUGGUCACCCCCAUCCCCACUUACAAAAUCAGCCAUAAUCUCACAGUCCAUGUGGCAUCUACUGAAAUUCCUUCUCCUACGUGUUGAGCAUCUAUCUUGUGCUCUGUCAGGUUCUGGAUAUAUGAUGACCAGAGGGACACGGUCUCUGACCCUGAGGAGCAACUAGCAAGAUGACAAGAAACUAGCACAUCAACAUAAGUCACAGCACAAAGUGUUAAGAACUAAACAGAGCAACAAAUGGGCAGGGAGCCCUGCGGUCUCCUGUGUAGGUCCAAGGUCAGAACUGCUAACUUCUGUGUCUGUAAUAAAUCCUAAGUUCAAACAGGCUACAUCAGUGGAAAAAAUUAUUUGUUCACCAUAUCAAAGCUACAGGUAUAUGUACAACACAGAAAAAAAAUGUUCUUAGAAAUGCUUCUGUCAUGUAGACAUGGACAUGAUGAAAAAUAUUUCCUCUUCAUAAGUGAGGCCAGUCACAAAUAGUAGCUGAGGCAACCCAUUAAUGACAUAGACUAAAUACCUUUCUAAAUGCAAUGUAAACACAUGUGCUUGAUUUAUCAAUCAAAAUGGUUAACAUGCUCAGUAGCAUCAAAGACUGCAUUCAAAUCAUGCUGUGUCCAAAUAUUAAUCUCUGGCUCAUUUUCCUUUUCACCAUCUCCAUUAAAAAUUAUUACAACACUUAUCUUUAAAUGGGGGGGGAAGCACACUUGAAUGAAUGACAAAAAUAAAAUUGACAAAAUACAAAGAGAAUGCUCAUAACUGCAGGGAAUUAAAGGAUAAAGUAGUUCUGAUCAAGACUUUUCUAUAUGAGCACAGUUAUUAUUAGCUCUAUCUAUCUUGCAUGGUAAAUCAAGAAUAAUGAAGAUAUGCCACCUGUAUGUAUUUCCAUAAUUCAUUAUUUGCUCCUAAAGCCAAUAUUUCUAAAAGACAAGACCAAGGUAAGCGGUAUUAAUGAGUUGUUGGAUUUAGAAGUUUUAAAAAGAUUUUAAUAUCUAGCAUCCUUUAUGACAAACUGCUAACAAAAAAAAAGUAAGUUGGCAGUAAAAAGACAGAACCUGUGUCUAUGGAAUUAGGCUAGAGUUCAAGCAACAAGGCUUAUUGGGUUACCAGUUUUAUUUCUAAUUUGCUCUGUUCAUUGAAGGAAUCAAUUUGCUGCCAUUAAAGGCUUGGAUUUCAAAUAUUUUACAAUUUACACACAUUUCCUGGUGUGAACGAGCUAUGCAGUUUGUCAGAGCUCAGACGAGCUGUCCUCUGGUGGCCCAAUAGCUGCACAUGUUCUUAAAAUGUGUUUGCAAGUAGAACAGAGGUAUAAUGCCUACCACUCAAUAAACAGGAAAAAAUACUGAGCCGUGUGGAAGCUUUGUUCAGCAGUUAUAUGUAUUUAUAGAUCCUCCCACAAUAAGCCAGUUAUGAAAUAAUAGAAAUUAAGAGGGGCCUUCCUGGACUUGACUGUUUUCACCUAAAUCUAAAUCUAAUUUUUCCUUAACUUACAGCAAACCUCAUGGGAGAAGUUGAACUUCAUUGAUUUGGAAUAGGAUGGAUGACUAUCCUUCCAAAACCCUUCAGAAAGGUGGAGUGCGCCCAACUUUUGGGAAAAAAAAGAGUUUUUACAGAUCAUAGUAAAUCAAUAACUCAUAGACAGUAUGACAGAUACAGAAUAUCCUUACUUAAGAUGAAAAACAAAUUGUGCAUUGCAAUCUUUAAUCAAUAAAAAGCUAACAAAUCAGCAGUGCAAACAAGAUGAGAGAGUCUUAUUUCAUCCUCAGUCACGAACUGAAGAGAUACACCGGGCUGUGUUUUGUGGUUAAAAAUUGCUCCCAGGAUGGUGUGCUUGUGAGCUAUUGAGUAAGAAGGUCAGUGGAGACCAACAGGCUGUGGGAUUUGCAACGCAGAAAGGACAAGUGGGUGGAACAUAAAAGGGCACUCUACAUAAAUGUCAAUUAAUGUAUUAUUCUUCUACAAACUUCCUUUAGCAAGGACUGUGGUGGCUUUGAAGCUUCUGUUCUUCUCGUGGGAGCAAGAAUGAGACCUCUUGCUUUAGCUUUUGAUUAAGCGAUGUUCAGAAGAAAACCUAUCAACAUAGACUAAGCCCUUCACAUUUAAACCAGAGGGCCUCACCCACCCCAAUUAGCCCCAACCCCUUUGAAAUGUUACCAAGGGGUCCCUUCUUUUCCUGUGCCAGUUAACUCUAAAAGAUUGUUGAUGGAGUGUAGCUCCUCAGUUGCAAAAACUCUAAUGUGCACUACACACAGGAGAUGUGCUAAUCAUAGUAAUCUUUUGAGAGCCUAAAGCAUUAGGACUUAUAUAAGUGAUGCUCAUUUAAUAGAUGAAGACUGACAAUCAGGGGAUCCCUGAGUGGCUCAGCGGUUUAGCACCUGCCUUCGGCCCAGGAUGUGAUCCUGGAGUCCCGGGAUCGAGUCCCACGUCAGGCUCCCUGCAUGGAGCCUGCUUCUCCCUCUGCCUUUCUCUCUCUCUCUUUCUCUCUCUCUCUCUCUCUCUCUCUCAUUCUCUCUGUGUCUCUCAGGAAUAAGUAAAUAAAAUCUUAAAAAAAAAAAAAA